RNAcentral lists this ribosomal RNA (499 nucleotides) under uncultured Glomeromycotina. RNAcentral's name for it is "partial small subunit ribosomal RNA". It matches the Rfam family "Eukaryotic small subunit ribosomal RNA", at positions 591 to 1092 of the family's 1831-position model. The record is from RNAcentral. Lineage: Eukaryota; Fungi; Glomeromycota.
CCAAUAGCGUAUAUUAAAGUUGUUGCAGUUAAAAAGCUCGUAGUUGAAUUUCGGGGUCAAUACGUCGGUCGUGCCUCGGUACGCACUAACGUUAUUGAUCCCUCCCUUCUGACGAACCGUGAUGUCAUUAAUUUGGUGUUGCGGGGAAUCAGGACUGUUACCUUGAAAAAAUUAGAGUGUUUAAAGCAGGCAAUCGCUCGAAUACAUUAGCAUGGAAUAAUGAAAUAGGACGUUCGAACCUAUUUUGUUGGUUUCUAGGAUCGACGUAAUGAUUAAUAGGGAUAGUUGGGGGCAUCAGUAUUCAAUUGUCAGAGGUGAAAUUCUUGGAUUUAUUGAAGACUAACUACUGCGAAAGCAUUUGCCAAGGAUGUUUUCAUUAAUCAAGAACGAAAGUUAGGGGAUCGAAGACGAUCAGAUACCGUCGUAGUCUUAACCAUAAACUAUGCCGACUAGGGAUCGGAUGAUGUUAAUUUUUUAAUGACUCAUUCGGCGCCUUACG